Molecule: ribosomal RNA, 253 nt
Filed under: uncultured bacterium
Lineage: Bacteria
Description: partial 16S ribosomal RNA
Rfam family: Bacterial small subunit ribosomal RNA
Source: RNAcentral
UACAGAGGUCCCGAGCGUUGUUCGGAUUCACUGGGCGUAAAGGGCGCGUAGGUGGCCGGGAAAGUUCGAUGUGAAAGCUCAGAGCUCAACUCUGAAAUGGCAUUGAAUACUAUCUGGCUUGAGGGUCGGAGGGGAGACUGGAAUUCUCGGUGUAGCAGUGAAAUGCGUAGAUAUCGAGAGGAACACCAGUGGCGAAGGCGAGUCUCUGGACCACUCCUGACACUGAGGCACGAAAGCUAGGGGGGCAAACAGG